This 318-nucleotide ribosomal RNA is filed under the name Triticum aestivum (bread wheat). RNAcentral describes it as "partial small subunit ribosomal RNA". Lineage: Eukaryota; Viridiplantae; Streptophyta; Magnoliopsida; Poales; Poaceae. The record is from RNAcentral.
AUGACCUUGGUCAAGGCGGUCCUUACUGCAGUGGCCAUUUAUGAUAUCACACCACUGGACCUUCCGGUGGAGGUUCUCAAGACAAUUGAUAAACUAAGGCGGGCCUAUCUUUGGGCUGGAACGGACAAAGUGACAGGUGGAAAAUGCAAAGUCAACUGAGAGUUGGUGUGCAAACCGAAAGAGUAUGGAGGUCUUGGCAUUUUGCACCUUGGAAAAUACGCAACUGCUCUCCGGCUGAGGUGGUUGUGGCUAGACUGGGACGACCCGCCAAGGGCGUGGUGCGCGCUGGGCACGCCUUGCAUGAAAACAAGAUCAUGA